RNAcentral lists this long non-coding RNA (1597 nucleotides) under Macaca mulatta (Rhesus monkey). Its description in RNAcentral is "lncRNA (ENSMMUG00000055009.1)". The record is from RNAcentral. Lineage: Eukaryota; Metazoa; Chordata; Mammalia; Primates; Cercopithecidae.
GAGAUGAAGCGUCUUCCAGCAUGCAGCCGCCCUGAUGGAUCGCUGGGGCCUCGGGCGGGGUGCGCCGCUGUCCUUUCGCAGCCGUCCGGGCGGCUCUGCACGUGCAGCGCGCGGUCCCCACGCCCCCCCCCCCACCCCGCCCAGCAGCCCGCAACACCCCUGGUCUGCCGCGGGGGACCCUGCCGAUGCCUUUCGGGGUCGAGACUGGCGCGGUGGAAACCGCAGAGCAAAAGGAAACACAGACAAAAACAGUGAGAAGGAGAGAGGGCGUGUGGUGCUUUGCCAGAGAGGAUCUUGGAUGGAAAUCACCUAAGAACUCCAAACUCAAUGCCAGGGCAGACUGGUGUCUAUUCUGGUGGAUUUCCAAGUUCUGAACAUUGGAAUUUAAAUGCAGAUGGAGGCCACUCUGGACGUGUGUCCAUGGUACUUGGGGUAAUGUUGGUUGUGAGCUGGCCUACACACAGAUCACACACAGAUCUCUUUGUGGUGUUGGAGAAGUUGGAGUCAGCUCAUAGGGGAGUCCCAACAUGGAAGACCCAGGAGUGCAGCAGGCUUUACUUUUUAAGAAAUAGCUCAUUAAAAAUGAAAUUGGGAAGAGGUCUUUGAUCCUGCUUGGAACACCAGACAACCAAAACCAAAAAUGGAACUGGAAUUCCGUAGUCCGAAGGUUUGUGACCAAAAUCUUAAUUCAAAGCUGCACUUUAUCUUCCCUUUCAUUCAAUUCAGCUCUUUUAAGAUCAGAAAUCAGUUUCCUUCAUAUCAUGACAGGGUUUACAUUAAGCUACUUGAGUCUCCAAAAUUACAACAUUAAAUCAGUUGCAUAAAAACAAAAACUAAUUCAUUGACAUUAGCUCUCUUUGUAAUUGAUGAAAAGAGGAAAGAAGUGAAGUUUGAAAAAAACCCUCAAAUGUACACCUAAGUUAAAGACUGUUAAAGUGUCUUUUUCUUUUACUGAUUUUCCAUUUCAAUUGAGAAAUUAAAUUGGACUGUGUAAUAUUUCCACAUACGUAAACUCCAGAAACUGCUCAUAAAAUAAAAAGAGUUUUUCAUCAUUCAGGAAGAUAUUUCCUUGAUGGGUUUGUGUUCAUCGAUAAACUCUGCCUUGCUUCAAAACGUGCAGGUAUGUAGGGCUGCUUCUAGCAUCUCAGCAGGCUCUUAGAGUGGAUUCCAAAUAUGCUGACAGGAGACUAGGGGUGAAAAUACAUACAGCAAUACAUCUGCAAGCUACAUGGCCUUGAGGGGAUUGCCUAAACUCACCUGUCUUUCUCUACAUUGACUUCAUUGCAAAAUAGGGGUAAAAACAGUGCAUGCUUUAGUGUGUUUUUUAAUGACUAAAUGAAACAAUAUUUGCCAAGCAUUUUUAAUACAGUCUAGUGUUUCAUAAAUGAUCAACAAACAUGUAUUGCUACAAUUAUUCAUAUUUAUUAUCGUUGAUUUUACACAGCAAUGUCUCCCAGUAGUUAAGUUUCUACUUUUAAAAUAACUGGAAGAAUGUAAGCUCUCAACUAGUCCUGAAACAAUAGAUACCAACUAGUAGAGAUAAUAGCUAUCUGGAAGAGGGAGAUACAUGCCAAGUCAAAAAAAAAAAAAAAAAAAA